GAUGACGCUGGCGGCGUGCCUAACACAUGCAAGUCGAGCGAUCUUCUUCGGAGAAGAGCGGCGGACGGGUGAGUAACGCGUGGGUAACCUGCCUCAUACACAUGGAUAACAUACCGAAAGGUAUGCUAAUACAAGAUGAUAUAAGAGAUUCGCAUGGGUUUCUUAUCAAAGCUCCGGCGGUAUGAGAUGGACCCGCGUCUGAUUAGCUAGUUGGUAAGGUAACGGCUUACCAAGGCGACGAUCAGUAGCCGACCUGAGAGGGUGAUCGGCCACAUUGGAACUGAGACACGGUCCAAACUCCUACGGGAGGCAGCAGUGGGGAAUAUUGCACAAUGGGCGAAAGCCUGAUGCAGCAACGCCGCGUGAGCGAUGAAGGCCUUCGGGUCGUAAAGCUCUGUCCUCAAGGAAGAUAAUGACGGUACUUGAGGAGGAAGCCCCGGCUAACUACGUG
This 451-nucleotide ribosomal RNA is filed under the name uncultured bacterium. RNAcentral describes it as "bacterial SSU rRNA". It matches the Rfam family "Bacterial small subunit ribosomal RNA", at positions 32 to 507 of the family's 1533-position model. The record is from RNAcentral.